GGGUGGUCCCCUCGCAAUGCCAGGUAGCGAACCCCGCCAGGCCCGGAAGGGAGCAACGGUAGUUACUGAGGCGUGUGCCGGGGUGUGGCUGCCUGGG
This 97-nucleotide signal recognition particle RNA is filed under the name Haliea sp. Its description in RNAcentral is "signal recognition particle sRNA small type". It matches the Rfam family "Bacterial small signal recognition particle RNA". Rfam says of the family: The signal recognition particle (SRP) is a universally conserved ribonucleoprotein involved in the co-translational targeting of proteins to membranes. Archaeal SRP consists of a 7S RNA and homologues of the eukaryotic SRP19 and SRP54 proteins. In most bacteria, the SRP consists of a 4.5S RNA and the Ffh protein (a homologue of the eukaryotic SRP54 protein). Lineage: Bacteria; Pseudomonadati; Pseudomonadota; Gammaproteobacteria; Cellvibrionales; Halieaceae. The record is from RNAcentral.